This 397-nucleotide ribosomal RNA is filed under the name uncultured bacterium. Its description in RNAcentral is "partial 16S ribosomal RNA". It matches the Rfam family "Bacterial small subunit ribosomal RNA", at positions 523 to 918 of the family's 1533-position model. The record is from RNAcentral.
AUACGUAGGGGGCAAGCGUUAUCCGGAUUUACUGGGUGUAAAGGGAGCGUAGGUGGCAAAUCAAGUCAGAUGUGAAAGCCCGGGGCUCAACCCCGGGAUUGCAUUUGAAACUGGUAUGCUAGAGUGCAGGAGAGGUAAGUGGAAUUCCUAGUGUAGCGGUGAAAUGCGUAGAUAUUAGGAGGAACACCAGUGGCGAAGGCGGCUUACUGGACUGUAACUGACACUGAGGCUCGAAAGCGUGGGGAGCAAACAGGAUUAGAUACCCGGGUAGUCCACGCCGUAAACGAUGAAUACUAGGUGUCGGGGGUCAAAAGACCUUCGGUGCCGUCGCAAACGCAUUAAGUAUUCCACCUGGGGAGUACGUUCGCAGGAAUGAAACUCAAAGGAAUUGACGGGG